Strigops habroptila (Kakapo) is the source of this 1608-nucleotide long non-coding RNA. RefSeq lists it as uncharacterized. NCBI's taxonomy places the organism in Eukaryota, Metazoa, Chordata, Aves, Psittaciformes, Psittacidae. The transcript has 2 exons. The record is from RefSeq and is a predicted model, not a curated record.
CAUCAGAUAACAAACAGAACACUGAGAUCACUCCUGGGUUUUAUGCUUUUUUUAUUCCUUGUUUGAGGUUCAUUAUUUCUCCUAGGUUUUUGUCAGCAUGAGCAUCAGUAAGAAGACAGGCACAGCAGGAAGCCGGAGUUGUGCCGUAGGGAUUAUGCUCCAGGGGACACUGCAUGCUGUUUUCUGAUAUAAUUAAUCAGUUCUCAUAAAUAAGAAGGCAUCCACUGAGUGUGAAGAGAUGUUCUUUGUCAGACUUACAUGUCAACUCCCGGGCUUUUUGUGCAAAGAGAAUCUUGGCUUUCAGUGAUACCUGCUAAAUAUUUCCUAAAGUGAAGCAGCUAUCAAUACUCUACAAAGUGAGACAUUUCAGCUGGGAACAGUGGUCCACCAAUACAGACUGAAAACCUGAAGAAUCUGUGCAUUUCAUAGUGAACUGCUGGGUAACACAUCACCCAAUGCAAUCUUCACUGGCUAUGUAGUACUGCUGGAAAAAAAAAAAUAAACCCACAAUUUUUUUCACACGGCUAUGAGCAGGAAACUGUGUCUGGAAAACCAACGGAGAUGUCUGUACUGUUUGGUCCGGCAGAGCUUGGAUCUGGUCUUCAGCAGCUGUUGAUGUCAGCUAAUAGCUUGCACACAAGGAAGACAACUGUGCCUACAGGAUUCGCCAUGUAGUUUGUUUCAAGUGCAAACAGGAGGACAGGAGGACAUUGGUAAAGCAAGUAAUACAUCAAGAUAUACAAAUAUCAAGACUGGCGUUAAGUGUCCCCAAGUCUCAAUAGCUGCAUUUGUGCUUAUUUGACAUUGAUAUAAAAGACAACGUACAGUCAGACCUGAGAAUACAGACUUGGACAAUUUUAUUGGACAAGUCAAUUCAUUUUGAGAAGUCAUUAGUCAUUGGGCCUAAGUCAUGCUGAAGGCUUCAUGUUUUAAAUAUGAAUAAAUACACAGUAGUCUCUGAAUGUUCUAGAUAGCACUUGGAAGGGAGAAUUAGUAUGGACAUUCUGUAUGGGAAAUAGAACACAUAAUUAUUUAAGUUAGGUAGAAACAAUGUUGUGGGUGGCUUCAGUUUUGCAGAAGUGUCACACCUGGGGUUUUGUAUUUAAUUUUAUUUCAUAAGGCAGCUCCUCAGCUAGUGGAGAUCAGAAGUAUUCCACUGUGAUCAGUAGAAAGAUCACAGAUCUCACCAGCUUGAACACUUGUUCAAGAGAUAGUUUGGCCUGUCGCUGUUGAAAACUGACAUGGAUGAAUACAUUUUCCAAAAGUGGCUUUUAUUUGCACAAGCGAGAGAUGUGUGUUUUGAGUUGUUCUUACCAAUUAUAGGCCUAAGGUGUAAAACCCUAGGUCACUGGUUCUGAUUUUAAACUUUUGAUUCAUAAGGAAAAAACAGCUCUCUGAGGAUAUACUAACAUAUGGAGACCAAUUAUUUGCUCUCAUUUUAGCUCUACAGGCUAUUAGAAAGUAAAAUAACACACCAUACUCUGGUUUCAAGGCAUGCAAAAUAAAACACGUGCCCAGUACUGUAUACACAGAGUGAAGAAAAUGUUUCAGGAGAAAGGCAGCACUUUAGUAUUUGACAUUGGUAAAUAAACAUUGUGGUAACUUUGA